Molecule: ribosomal RNA, 2781 nt
Filed under: Escherichia coli
Lineage: Bacteria; Pseudomonadati; Pseudomonadota; Gammaproteobacteria; Enterobacterales; Enterobacteriaceae
Description: partial 23S ribosomal RNA
Rfam family: Bacterial large subunit ribosomal RNA
Source: RNAcentral
GGGUUGUGAGGUUAAGCGACUAAGCGUACACGGUGGAUGCCCUGGCAGUCAGAGGCGAUGAAGGACGUGCUAAUCUGCGAUAAGCGUCGGUAAGGUGAUAUGAACCGUUAUAACCGGCGAUUUCCGAAUGGGGAAACCCAGUGUGUUUCGACACACUAUCAUUAACUGAAUCCAUAGGUUAAUGAGGCGAACCGGGGGAACUGAAACAUCUAAGUACCCCGAGGAAAAGAAAUCAACCGAGAUUCCCCCAGUAGCGGCGAGCGAACGGGGAGCAGCCCAGAGCCUGAAUCAGUGUGUGUGUUAGUGGAAGCGUCUGGAAAGGCGCGCGAUACAGGGUGACAGCCCCGUACACAAAAAUGCACAUGCUGUGAGCUCGAUGAGUAGGGCGGGACACGUGGUAUCCUGUCUGAAUAUGGGGGGACCAUCCUCCAAGGCUAAAUACUCCUGACUGACCGAUAGUGAACCAGUACCGUGAGGGAAAGGCGAAAAGAACCCCGGCGAGGGGAGUGAAAAAGAACCUGAAACCGUGUACGUACAAGCAGUGGGAGCACGCUUAGGCGUGUGACUGCGUACCUUUUGUAUAAUGGGUCAGCGACUUAUAUUCUGUAGCAAGGUUAACCGAAUAGGGGAGCCGAAGGGAAACCGAGUCUUAACUGGGCGUUAAGUUGCAGGGUAUAGACCCGAAACCCGGUGAUCUAGCCAUGGGCAGGUUGAAGGUUGGGUAACACUAACUGGAGGACCGAACCGACUAAUGUUGAAAAAUUAGCGGAUGACUUGUGGCUGGGGGUGAAAGGCCAAUCAAACCGGGAGAUAGCUGGUUCUCCCCGAAAGCUAUUUAGGUAGCGCCUCGUGAAUUCAUCUCCGGGGGUAGAGCACUGUUUCGGCAAGGGGGUCAUCCCGACUUACCAACCCGAUGCAAACUGCGAAUACCGGAGAAUGUUAUCACGGGAGACACACGGCGGGUGCUAACGUCCGUCGUGAAGAGGGAAACAACCCAGACCGCCAGCUAAGGUCCCAAAGUCAUGGUUAAGUGGGAAACGAUGUGGGAAGGCCCAGACAGCCAGGAUGUUGGCUUAGAAGCAGCCAUCAUUUAAAGAAAGCGUAAUAGCUCACUGGUCGAGUCGGCCUGCGCGGAAGAUGUAACGGGGCUAAACCAUGCACCGAAGCUGCGGCAGCGACGCUUAUGCGUUGUUGGGUAGGGGAGCGUUCUGUAAGCCUGUGAAGGUGUGCUGUGAGGCAUGCUGGAGGUAUCAGAAGUGCGAAUGCUGACAUAAGUAACGAUAAAGCGGGUGAAAAGCCCGCUCGCCGGAAGACCAAGGGUUCCUGUCCAACGUUAAUCGGGGCAGGGUGAGUCGACCCCUAAGGCGAGGCCGAAAGGCGUAGUCGAUGGGAAACAGGUUAAUAUUCCUGUACUUGGUGUUACUGCGAAGGGGGGACGGAGAAGGCUAUGUUGGCCGGGCGACGGUUGUCCCGGUUUAAGCGUGUAGGCUGGUUUUCCAGGCAAAUCCGGAAAAUCAAGGCUGAGGCGUGAUGACGAGGCACUACGGUGCUGAAGCAACAAAUGCCCUGCUUCCAGGAAAAGCCUCUAAGCAUCAGGUAACAUCAAAUCGUACCCCAAACCGACACAGGUGGUCAGGUAGAGAAUACCAAGGCGCUUGAGAGAACUCGGGUGAAGGAACUAGGCAAAAUGGUGCCGUAACUUCGGGAGAAGGCACGCUGAUAUGUAGGUGAAGUCCCUCGCGGAUGGAGCUGAAAUCAGUCGAAGAUACCAGCUGGCUGCAACUGUUUAUUAAAAACACAGCACUGUGCAAACACGAAAGUGGACGUAUACGGUGUGACGCCUGCCCGGUGCCGGAAGGUUAAUUGAUGGGGUCAGCGCAAGCGAAGCUCUUGAUCGAAGCCCCGGUAAACGGCGGCCGUAACUAUAACGGUCCUAAGGUAGCGAAAUUCCUUGUCGGGUAAGUUCCGACCUGCACGAAUGGCGUAAUGAUGGCCAGGCUGUCUCCACCCGAGACUCAGUGAAAUUGAACUCGCUGUGAAGAUGCAGUGUACCCGCGGCAAGACGGAAAGACCCCGUGAACCUUUACUAUAGCUUGACACUGAACAUUGAGCCUUGAUGUGUAGGAUAGGUGGGAGGCUUAGAAGUGUGGACGCCAGUCUGCAUGGAGCCGACCUUGAAAUACCACCCUUUAAUGUUUGAUGUUCUAACGUUGACCCGUAAUCCGGGUUGCGGACAGUGUCUGGUGGGUAGUUUGACUGGGGCGGUCUCCUCCUAAAGAGUAACGGAGGAGCACGAAGGUUGGCUAAUCCUGGUCGGACAUCAGGAGGUUAGUGCAAUGGCAUAAGCCAGCUUGACUGCGAGCGUGACGGCGCGAGCAGGUGCGAAAGCAGGUCAUAGUGAUCCGGUGGUUCUGAAUGGAAGGGCCAUCGCUCAACGGAUAAAAGGUACUCCGGGGAUAACAGGCUGAUACCGCCCAAGAGUUCAUAUCGACGGCGGUGUUUGGCACCUCGAUGUCGGCUCAUCACAUCCUGGGGCUGAAGUAGGUCCCAAGGGUAUGGCUGUUCGCCAUUUAAAGUGGUACGCGAGCUGGGUUUAGAACGUCGUGAGACAGUUCGGUCCCUAUCUGCCGUGGGCGCUGGAGAACUGAGGGGGGCUGCUCCUAGUACGAGAGGACCGGAGUGGACGCAUCACUGGUGUUCGGGUUGUCAUGCCAAUGGCACUGCCCGGUAGCUAAAUGCGGAAGAGAUAAGUGCUGAAAGCAUCUAAGCACGAAACUUGCC